RNAcentral lists this unclassified non-coding RNA (400 nucleotides) under uncultured Bacteroidota bacterium. RNAcentral describes it as "uncultured Bacteroidetes bacterium partial 16S-23S ribosomal RNA intergenic spacer". The stretch from base 280 to 400 matches the Rfam family "Bacterial large subunit ribosomal RNA", at positions 1 to 122 of the family's 2925-position model. Lineage: Bacteria; Pseudomonadati; Bacteroidota. The record is from RNAcentral.
UCUCUUUUUUUGAGUAAAUAGCUUCUAUUUGCUUUCUAAUUCUAUCUUCUUUUUUUACUUUUUUCCCUUUAGAGUCUCGUAGCUCAGCUGGUUAGAGCGCUACACUGAUAAUGUAGAGGUCGGCAGUUCGAGUCUGCCCGAGACUACAUAAUUAAAGGGGGGAUUAGCUCAGCUGGUUAGAGCGCCGCGUUUGCAACGCGGAGGUCAUCGGUUCGACUCCGAUAUUCUCCACUAAAAAGUUCUUUGACAUAUUGUAAUGAAUAUAUAUAUACUUAAUAUUUAAAAGUUAUUAAGGGCGUAUGGCGGAUGCCUUGGCUCUCAUUGGCGAUGAAGGACGUGACAAGCUGCGAUAAGUUUCGAUUAGGUGCAAAUAACCUUGGAAUCGAAGAUUCCGAAUGGG